AGUAACGCGUGAGGAACCUGCCUCAAAGAGGGGGGACAACAGUUGGAAACGACUGCUAAUACCGCAUAAGCCCACGGCUCGGCAUCGAGCAGAGGGAAAAGGAGCAAUCCGCUUUGAGAUGGCCUCGCGUCCGAUUAGCUAGUUGGUGAGGUAAUGGCCCACCAAGGCGACGAUCGGUAGCCGGACUGAGAGGUUGAACGGCCACAUUGGGACUGAGACACGGCCCAG
Molecule: ribosomal RNA, 228 nt
Filed under: uncultured bacterium
Lineage: Bacteria
Description: partial 16S ribosomal RNA
Rfam family: Bacterial small subunit ribosomal RNA
Source: RNAcentral